GAUGAACGCUAGCGGCAGGCCUAACACAUGCAAGUCGAGGGAGAAGCCCUUCGGGGCAGAAACCGGCGCACGGGUGCGUAACGCGUAUGCAACCUACCUUUCACAGGGGGAUAGCCCGAAGAAAUUUGGAUUAAUACCCCAUAAUAUUAUUGGAUGGCAUCAUUUGAUAAUUAAAAUUACGAUGGUGAAAGAUGGGCAUGCGUCCUAUUAGCUAGUUGGAGUGGUAACGGCACCCCAAGGCUACGAUAGGUAGGGGUCCUGAGAGGGAGAUCCCCCACACUGGUACUGAGACAGGGACCAGACUCCUACGGGAGGCAGCAGUGAGGAAUAUUGGUCAAUGGUCGGAAGACUGAACCAGCCAUGCCGCGUGCAGGAAGAAUGCCUUAUGGGUUGUAAACUGCUUUUAUAUGGGAAGAAUAAGGAGUACGUGUACUUUGAUGACGGUACCAUAUGAAU
This 456-nucleotide ribosomal RNA is filed under the name Capnocytophaga granulosa. RNAcentral's name for it is "bacterial SSU rRNA". It matches the Rfam family "Bacterial small subunit ribosomal RNA", at positions 28 to 487 of the family's 1533-position model. Lineage: Bacteria; Pseudomonadati; Bacteroidota; Flavobacteriia; Flavobacteriales; Flavobacteriaceae. The record is from RNAcentral.